CUAAUCAAAUUUGGUUUAGUUUCAAUCACUGGUGUCGAUUCUUCUACCUAUCGAACUUCAUCAAGCUCGACUUUAAAGACUAUUUGUUCCUUUACUAAGGAACUCUUUUUCCAAAAAGUAUGCCUUACUGCUGACAUAUACCAUUUGUUCAGCAGGAAGGUAAAAGUAAUAUCCUCUCAUUUUCUUGGAGUAUCCUAUAAAAUAACACUUAUUGGACCU
This 219-nucleotide long non-coding RNA is filed under the name Elaeis guineensis (African oil palm). RNAcentral describes it as "long non-coding RNA (EGUI_LNC008362)". The record is from RNAcentral. Lineage: Eukaryota; Viridiplantae; Streptophyta; Magnoliopsida; Arecales; Arecaceae.